This 734-nucleotide long non-coding RNA is filed under the name Elaeis guineensis (African oil palm). RNAcentral describes it as "long non-coding RNA (EGUI_LNC011347)". Lineage: Eukaryota; Viridiplantae; Streptophyta; Magnoliopsida; Arecales; Arecaceae. The record is from RNAcentral.
AGAAGGAAAUUAUGAAAAAGAAAGUAGGACAUAAAAUCACAUUCAACAGAAGGCUCACAAAUCACAUGUUAGAAGGCAACAUUUACCAGAAGCAAAGAGUAGCUCAGAGAAGGCGGAGAAGAGUUCCGUUCAAAAGCAUCAGCUGCUGGUAAUCAUCUUUACCGUUCGACCUUCACAUCACCCGUUCUAAGAGCUCCCUUCCGAUGUAUGUUACCUCCUCCUCAAAAAAUUUAUGCUAGCUGCUAAUUGAACAAGCCAAUAGAUCAACAUACAUGGGAGUAGGGGGAAGGCUUCGCGACGCAUUGAUCAUCUAUUGUGAAGGGGAUUCGCGCCAGUGGGAACCUUCCUCUUAUCUGCUCCUACCAAAUCAUCUCCAUUCUCAUGGUCGUCAUGGCUGGCGAACAUCACUGAACCGCUUGAAGCAGCCGAAAUGGGAGCCAAGUCUAAGAAGGUAGAAGAACGAUCUCCCUCCGGGCGCAUGGUGGAGUGAAGGAAGACCAUUUGCACGAGGAUUAACACCACAACGACCCACUUGCACGACACCACCCUUUGUCUCCUCCGAAGGGAGGGAAUCAUGAUACCAUCUCUCAGAGAAGGCUCUUUGCUUCACUGCAAGAACACGUGGCCAUGAAUGCUGGGCCGCAGCUGCCGAGAUUGAGGUGGAGAAUGGUAAUGACGAAUUAGGUGUUCUUGCAAGGGGUGGCCAAGUAGAAGUGAAGAAGAGAGAGUUUGGU